UUCUAAGGGCGGUGAAGUCAGACCGGAAGGACUGGUGGAGCGCUUAGAAGUGAGAAUGCCGGUAUGAGUAGCGAAAGAAGGGUGAGAAUCCCUUCCACCGAAUAUCUAAGGUUUCCUGAGGAAGGCUCGUCCGCUCAGGGUUAGUCGGGACCUAAGCCGAGGCCGAUAGGCGUAGGCGAUGGACAACAGGUAGAGAUUCCUGUACCAGUGCUAAUUGUUUAACCGAUGGGGUGACACAGAAGGAUAGGGAAUCGCACGAAUGGAAAUGUGCGUCCAAGCAGUGAGUGUGAGAAGUAGGCAAAUCCGCUUCUCGCGAAGCAUGAGCUGUGAUGGGGAAGGAAAUUAAGUACGGAAGUUCCUGAUUUCACGCUGUCAAGAAAAGCCUCUAGGAAGAGUAGUACUGCCCGUACCGCAAACCGACACAGGUAGAUGAGGAGAGAAUCCUAAGGUGAGCGAGAGAACUCUCGUUAAGGAACUCGGCAAAAUGACCCCGUAACUUCGGGAGAAGGGGUGCUCUAUUAGGGUGCAAGCCCGAGAGAGCCGCAGUGAAUAGGCCCAGGCGACUGUUUAGCAAAAACACAGGUCUCUGCAAAACCGUAAGGUGACGUAUAGGGGCUGACGCCUGCCCGGUGCUGGAAGGUU
RNAcentral lists this ribosomal RNA (642 nucleotides) under Listeria monocytogenes. Its description in RNAcentral is "partial 23S ribosomal RNA". It matches the Rfam family "Bacterial large subunit ribosomal RNA", at positions 1239 to 1878 of the family's 2925-position model. The record is from RNAcentral. Lineage: Bacteria; Bacillati; Bacillota; Bacilli; Caryophanales; Listeriaceae.